Molecule: long non-coding RNA, 1357 nt
Organism: Magnolia sinica
Lineage: Eukaryota; Viridiplantae; Streptophyta; Magnoliopsida; Magnoliales; Magnoliaceae
Exons: 2
Source: RefSeq, a predicted model, not a curated record
UGGAAAGAACAUAACUACAAUUUGAGGGCUACUUCCUUAUUAUGAAUACUAGGAAACAUCUGUAAAUUUCUGCAUUUCCUCUUGAUUAAACUGAAUAUUCACAAUUCCUCAACCAAUAGAGUUUUAUUAUGGAGAUAAAUAGUAGUGGCAAAUCCUACCCAAAAAAAAAUUAUAAUUAUGGUUUGGACUACAUGGAGAUGUACAAAAGAUAAAAUCUUUGAAUCAUGCCAAAGGAGACGUGAAACCCAAUCUUGAUCAAUACAAGAAAGGUGGAUAUGUUGCCCUCUGUGCAAUUUGCAAUUAUAAUUUGUUUCCAAUGAGCUGUUUCGUAUAAUGAAUGUUUCUUGGAAAAAGAAAAUGCAUGAUUUUGGUGUAGUACCAGAUUGUCGUUUUCAUCUUAUCACAGCAUACAGUUUCUCAUAUUGCAAUCAAACUUUGUGCUGCAGUGAUCUUUCUUACAAUAGUUUUACAGUGGAUAGGUCUGCACCAACUUAUUGUUCACAAGGAACACUGUAAGAUUACUUGUGUAAUUAUGGCUUCUUUACAUUGUUCAUUUCACAUGGUUUCUUAUAUUAUGCUGUUGAAAAUUUCUGUGUAUUUCAUCAGCAACUUGUUUGGGACCUCUUCAAUGCUGAACAAUUCAUAAGCUUCUAAUGUUCUUAUUGUUAAAUUGCACAAUGAGUUGUUGGUGAUGGUCGUCCGUUUUGUUGCAGCCACUUCUGUUCAUCUUAAAUGUGUAUUAAACCUCGUCGAAUAUAAUCUUAUAAUGCUUAUUGUUGACCACAUAUUGAUCUUGGAGUGGAGUUGUUCCAUGCUUGAAGAGCUUCAAUUGUCCAAAAUGAGGACUAAAAAAGGAAUUCUUUUAUGGAGUCUGGUUUGAUAUGUUUAAACAUAAUACAAAGUAUGGAAAGGAAGUUGCAGGUAGUAAUUGAAGCUAUUGAGUGUGGUAAGAGCACCCUGGUAUUUACCUUAAGCAGUAUGGUAUGAGACUUGUAAAAUGUUGCAGGUAGCAGGAGUUUUUAUGGUGGUCAUGGUUGUGGAUUUUAUUAUUUUGGAUCAUUAAUGUGGUCUUGAAUUUUGCUUAUUUUGGAUAAUGAAUGUGUGGAUUUGCUGAAUUCAUUUGAGAAAUGAGCUGGAAAAAUGGAUGAACAAUAUAAUAUUCAAUGCAUCAUCAAGAUGGGGCCUACAGUGACAGUAUCUUCUCCUGUUUUGAUCAAACCAACUGCCAUGCUGGAUGUGAUUACUCGUUAAGCUGCAGCAGAGAACUUUUUGGCAAUGAUGCUGUGAAUGGUUUUGCGGAUGAUGGAUGGUUGUUGAUGAAAAUGCAGCAGUUGCAUGUGCCCAGCUUGUCUUUGCA